UCCCUGCUUUUGUCCUUCGCCCCACAGGGAGUGAGCCAGAAGGCCAGACAAGAGGGCUGCCACUAUGGUCGCUCUGGACACUUCCAAAAUGAAGGCUCCGUCGUGGAUGUUGGUCAGGCUACCCACGUCACUGUAGUACCAGCCCACUCUCCUGACUCACCAGCAGCGAUGUACCGGACUCCAGCACCCACCUUAUGGAUCUAAUAAACUUGGGAAAACACUGGCCUGCUUCUGAGAAACUAAAUUGUGCAGUGGAUUCAUCACGACAGCCAGGGCAAUGUAUAUUCUGUGCAGAGGGUUUCUGAAGACGCAUAUCAGGACUCAACACUGUAGUCAUGAGGAACAGGAAGGGCUUUGUUCUCUGUCCGGCUGGCACCUCAGUACGGGCCCCUUGGUACUCUGUUUGGUGGGGAACAACACAAAGCACAUCAAUUGACCUUUUGAUUGACACAGAAAUCAAGCCAGCAUGAUCUGCAUUAAAAAAGUGAGAGGACAGCACAGGCCCGUGGAGUAGGCCGAGAGCAGGCGACCUAGCCAGCCUGGCAUGGUCAAAACUAGGUCCAAAGAUCACUGUGUUCAGUUACAUUUUCAAUGA
Clupea harengus (Atlantic herring) is the source of this 595-nucleotide long non-coding RNA. The record is from Ensembl. Lineage: Eukaryota; Metazoa; Chordata; Actinopteri; Clupeiformes; Clupeidae.